This 369-nucleotide ribosomal RNA is filed under the name uncultured organism. RNAcentral's name for it is "bacterial SSU rRNA". It matches the Rfam family "Bacterial small subunit ribosomal RNA", at positions 526 to 896 of the family's 1533-position model. The record is from RNAcentral.
CGAAGGGAGCAAGCGUUGUUCGGAAUUACUGGGCGUAAAGCGCGCGUAGGCGGCCAUGCCAGUCAGAGGUGAAAGCCCGGAGCUUAACUCCGGAAUUGCCUUUGAAACUGCAUGGCUGGAGUACUGGAGGGGAUGGCGGAAUUUCUAAUGUAGCGGUGAAAUGCGUAGAUAUUAGAAGGAACACCGGCGGCGAAGGCGGCCAUCUGGACAGUUACUGACGCUGAGGCGCGAAAGCGUGGGGAUCAAACAGGAUUAGAUACCCUGGUAGUCCACGCCGUAAACGAUGGGUGCUAGCCGUUGGGAGGUUACCUUCCAGUGGCGUAGCUAACGCGUUAAGCACCCCGCCUGGGGAGUACGGUCGCAAGAUUA